This 400-nucleotide ribosomal RNA is filed under the name uncultured bacterium. RNAcentral describes it as "bacterial SSU rRNA". It matches the Rfam family "Bacterial small subunit ribosomal RNA", at positions 355 to 751 of the family's 1533-position model. The record is from RNAcentral.
UAAGGAAUAUUGGACAAUGGUCGGAAGACUGAUCCAGCCAUGCCGCGUGAAGGAUGAAGGCGCUCAGCGUUGUAAACUUCUUUUGGACGGGAACAAAAUACGGGAUUUAUCCUGUACUGAGGGUACCGUCAGAAUAAGCACCGGCUAACUCCGUGCCAGCAGCCGCGGUAAUACGGAGGGUGCAAGCGUUAUCCGGAAUCACUGGGUUUAAAGGGUGCGUAGGCGGUCUGAUAAGUCAGUCGUGAAAUCGCUGGGCUCAACCCAUGCAACUGCGAUUGAUACUGUCAGACUUGAAUCAGGUUGAGGUAGGCGGAAUGUGGCAUGUAGCGGUGAAAUGCUUAGAUAUGCCAUAGAACACCGAUUGCGAAGGCAGCUUGCUGGGCCUGAAUUGACGCUGAGG